Molecule: long non-coding RNA, 3517 nt
Organism: Melospiza melodia melodia
Lineage: Eukaryota; Metazoa; Chordata; Aves; Passeriformes; Passerellidae
Exons: 4
Source: RefSeq, a predicted model, not a curated record
UUCUUUCUCUUUUCUCCCUUUCUCUCUUUUCUCUCUUUCUCCCCACGGGUCACUAAACAACCUGUGGAGUCACAGAGUGGCCUUGCCAGAACCACAUGACAUUAGCACAGAUGGCCUUGACCACGUUAAUGACAUUUCCAUGGCAAGAUCCAUAUCAUUGACAUUUCUUGCAAUCCCAGAAGCUGCAAGCAGCAUGAAGUUCUCUAAACAGGACUGACCUGACAGAAAAGCCCCCACGUGUCCAGCACAGUGCAGGACCCCAGACAUUCAGAGCAGCAUUCCCAGCAUGAAUCAGACACAUCCACAUCCUCUGGCACUGCUGGAGAUGGAGAACAUCAUCCAAAACUGUGCAUGGAAUCACCACCAGGAUCAUCCCAAGCUCUGUGAGGUCCAGGGAGGGGAUUCUCCUCUUUGCUCUCAUGAGAUCCCACCCAGAGUGCUGUGCCCAGUUUGGAUGUCCCAAGAUCAGAAGGAUCUGGAACUGUUGGAGCAAGUCCAGAGGAGGCCAUGAGCUCCCUAAAAAGAGAUGUGACUCUCUGCAAGUGAUGCUUCCAAUGCAUAAGGAGCUCUGGCCCCGGAGCCUGGUCAGGGGCAGCUCAAUAAUAACGAUCUAAGGCUGGUCUUCAGUAGAGACUCAACAGCUGACAGCUCUUCUGUUCAAACUGACAAGGGCACAAAGGAAGGCUUGAAUAAUUAAUUGCUGCAGGAUGAGCCCUCCAUGGGAUGGAAGGUGGGGAAGGAGAGCCCUGAUCACACGUGAGUGAAUAGGACUCUGUGCAAAAACCCAGCCUAGCCUCUAUGAAAAGUACUUUUAAAUUCUAUUACAUGGAUGUAGCCAUCAAUAAAAUAAGUAAAAGAAAAAAGGAUGGAAAAAAAUGUGGGACGUUAGCAAAGGUAACAGCUAUUCACUUAUUAACUUCUUCCUACCACAAAAAAAAAAAAAACCCAAACACACAAAAAACCCCCCCAAAACUCUAAAGCCCUAAAAGACCAAAAAAACCUCCCAGCAAAUGAUAACAAUUAUCUUAGGAAUGUAUUUGGGCAUAUUUGCAUAAUAAACGAAAAUAAAUGAAAUCCAAAAAGACCCAAACCAAACCAAAAAAAAGUCCUAAAAGACCCAAAAACUCAGCCACCAACCCCUGGAAAAAAUAAAACAAAAACAAAACCAAACCAACCCUAAAAAAAAAUCAAAACCCCAACACCUUUCUCACUUCAUUUCAUUUUUCAGCUAACUUUUCAUAGACCAAUUUCCCACUUAAAUAGAAACUGCAGACACCUGAACAUUCAGAGCCAAGUCAUAUGAUAAACACCAUCUCAAACAUAAUCUGCAUUCAUUAUUAAAUGAAUAGAUAUUAUUAAUUAUAAAAUAAUAAUGAAAUAUUUUUUAAAAUAAUUAUAAAAUAGUAAAAAAUAUAAAAUCAUUUUUAAUAGGGACAUAUAUGUUAACAUGCAUGACUUCAGCAUUGUCUUUAACUCAGAUGCCGCUUUCUCAGCAGGCACAAUAAAUCUUUGCUGAACUCAUUCACCACAAUUGGGUGACAAAAAGAGUGGGUGUCCAAUAAUUUCUGGUUGCUAAAGUUCUUUGAAUAAGAGGAGGAAAGGCCACCAUGUCAAGCUGCCCAAGGUCUGCAAAUGUGUAGUUAAAUGCUGGUUUUGGGUUUUGAAGGAGUAUUUGCUGCAGUGAACUGUGCUUACAAUGGUAAACUGCACCUUGGGAAACUGAAAAUCUCUCUGUGAUUAAUAAAAAGUAUUUUCUGUGAGAGCCAAGCUCCUCUCUCCCCUUAUUCAGACAAAAUUCCCCUGGGGUUUUACUCUGGAUGGAAAGACUGACUGAGCAAGGAGUGAAUAUUUCAAAGUUUGUUUGAUAACUCAUUUUCUGAGCAACAGCCAGCACUUAAAUGAAAGAAUCUGAUUGUUCAGGGAGUCCUGAUCAUUGCACUGUGUUCUAAUCCCAGCUCAUGGUCUAUAGAACUGACAGAGUCUCCAGUGCUUAAUUAUAAGAAGAAACCUGUCUCUAUAAAAUACGACUUAUGUUUAAGGUCAACACUGGCUCUUAAAAGAAAUUAAGUUUUGAAGAAGAAAUCAAGAUACCUGGAAAUAAAAUAUUAAUAAGAUGCUAAAAUUUUAAGUUACCUUAUUUUUUCCUUUCAAACAACCAAUACUCUGUGGAGAGGCAUCACCUGUUUCUACCAGAUUGUACCCUGUGGCACAUAUUAGGAUUGCUGAAAAAAGUAUUUUCCAACACUUUUAGGAGCAAUAUUUCCUUUGACUAUAACCUCUGUUAAAUAUUUAUACAUUAAUCUUAAUUUUUAUGUAGGAAAAUAUCCUAUAUAUGCAUGUGUGCACAUGCAUGUCCCCAUCAUGUGGGUGAUAAAUAAUAGAAGGUCCCUCUUUAUGAUAAAUUAUGGAUGGGAUUUAUAAUAUAUGAAUUAAAGUUAACUGCAGGAAAAAUCAUUCACAUACAAGAAGCUGGGGGAAGAACUAAACCCUGCAAGAGAGAGGUGGCAAACAAUUCAUGUUUUACUUCAGAAAAGCAGAUCUGAGGAUUCCAUAAUGGUGCAGCUUUCUCUGCUAUGUUUGUGGAAACAUUUUCCACCAAAGAAACAAAUAAAUGAAAUAAAUAAAUAUGGAAAAUUUAAAUGUCACUGGACUGAAAUUCUAUUGACAAUUUGGCAGGUACAAGGAAGAGCUGCAGAAAUUGCUCAAGAGAUGAAAGCCCAGUUUUAAAAUGGUGGGAUAAGGAAACAAAGACAGCUGUUAUGAAAUAACAGUUCAGUUAUGAAAAAGGAGCAAAUAAAGAGAAAUAACAACUGUCUGAAAGAUGAAGGAAAAGACCUUUAAAUUAUUAGGUCAGUUCAUAUCUUCAUAUCUUAUCAGAAAGUGAAAACAGAAUCAAUUGAGCAUAGGCAGAAGAUGGAAAAUUCAAGCAUCAAGGUAUUCACAAAAAGGAUCACAGUUCAUGGAGAAAUUACAAAGUGGAUACAGGAACUCUCUGGUAAAUUCCAAACAAAAAUAGGGAAGGACAAAAACAUCUAAAAGGGGGAAAACAAACAAAAAAAAAAAAACAAAAACCCCAACCAAAACCAAUCCAGGACAUUUGUCUUUCUUACGGGAAUUUCCACACUUUGACUGAACAAGAAUUGUGUCAACAGGUGCUGUCAGCCCAAUCCAGCAUCACAUGAACCAACCUCAAAAAAAAUUUGAUAUUUAGAGGAAUCAGGAAAAUAAAUGUGUAUUCAUUUUAGAUCUAGAUCAGUCUUUCCCCUAAUUUCUGAAAUUCCUGGUUUCAGUCUGGAUUAGGACCCAAUCUAUGUUAGAAAAUUAGCAGAGGUACUUAUGAUUUCCUAUAAUUUUAUUCUUUCAGAAUUACAAAAGCAUAAAUUCUCUUCUUUUUUUUUUUUAACUUAACUCAUUUUCAUGUUAAUAUAAAUCUGUAUUUUGCUCAUUUUUUCUCACUGGUCCACUUCACUUUUUUUUUUUUGUGAAGUGGCUACAGAUGUCUUUUCAAGAACAUGUU